GAAAAGGCUUUUUAGUUAUUGGCUAAUUACUUGAAACGUCAUCAAGAGUUCAUAUAACUAGACCUGUCUUGGAGCAAUUUUUAUCUUUUGCAAAAUACCUUGAUGGUUUAUCUCAUGGAGUACCUUUGCUGAAGCAGCUUUGUGAUCAUAUUUUGUUUAUUAACCCAGCCAUCUGGAUACAUACACCUGCAAAGGUUCAACUUUCCCUAUAUACAUAUUUGUCUGCUGAAUUUAUUGGAACUGCUACCAUCUACACCACCAUAUGCAGAAUAGGAACAGUUAUUAAAGAUAAUGCACACCUUAAAAUAUUACUACUGGGUUAUUAAUCCUGCUGACAGUAGUGGCAUUACACCUAAAGGAUUAGCCAAAGAUUCCUGAAGACAGAGCUGAUGCCAUGUACUCAAGUGGGUCUCUGCCUCUCAGAGGUGGCCUUGAUCUUCAAGUUUCAGCAAUUCUGGGAAGCCAAGGACACCUCCAUCUCCUCCUCCCUGAUCUGCAACUCAUCUGAGAGCAGCUUUCUCAUUGGAAUGUCUUGUGUUUAAGGAACAAGAAUCCCUGUUUCCGGUUUGGGUGCCCAAGUGCACCUACUGGAUCCAACCCAGGAUUGGAGAUACUUUGCAGAACACAACAUCAUCUGGCACAUGACCAGCCAUGGUGUUUCACUUUCACAAUUUCAGCUUCCUUCACUGAUUGCAGCAUAAUCGUGGUUCAGCAGCCUCCAAGACCAGGGCUGAUGUGGGCGGCUACAGGGAGAAAUUCAAGAGGAAGUUCUUGGUGGUGCCCUCCAUGAGUACAAAGAAGCCUCACAGUCCCCAGGACACCCUUCCGUGCAUGGUGUCACUGACAUCUUUAUUUCUUUUGUCACGUUCUGUAAAUCACAAUGAAUGGGGUAUUCUUCCUCUAUUAUAUAUUUGUUAAGUCUUUUUUGGCAUCUUUAAAAAAAACUGGUAACUUUAUCCUAUGUAAUAU
RNAcentral lists this long non-coding RNA (969 nucleotides) under Homo sapiens (human). RNAcentral's name for it is "long non-coding RNA NONHSAT040653.2". The record is from RNAcentral. Lineage: Eukaryota; Metazoa; Chordata; Mammalia; Primates; Hominidae.